AUUACAUUUCCUCCAGUGAGUGACAUUAAGAUGAAGAGAAGAAACGAUAUUGAGAGCUUCUUUAUCAAGAAAAAAAAGAGUCAGAGUCAGCUACAGCCAGUACCAGCACCAGUGCAGAUGCCCACACAAGCCAGCAGCCUAGGGAUAGUGUUGAUGAGCAGUCCACUACCCCAAUACAAGAUGUUGACCAGCCACAUUUGGAGGAGGAGGAGACGGACUGUGAAUCUGUGUUGUCUGGAUCUCCACCUACUGAGCAUGGUCCUAGCAUGUCAAUAGGUGACACUGAUGCUGCUCCCCCUGGACCUCACGGUAUGUUGUAACAUUUUAUAUUUC
This is a long non-coding RNA of Engraulis encrasicolus (European anchovy), 333 nucleotides long. RefSeq lists it as uncharacterized. The record is from RefSeq and is a predicted model, not a curated record. The transcript is spliced from 3 exons. Lineage: Eukaryota; Metazoa; Chordata; Actinopteri; Clupeiformes; Engraulidae.